Molecule: long non-coding RNA, 971 nt
Organism: Arabidopsis thaliana (thale cress)
Lineage: Eukaryota; Viridiplantae; Streptophyta; Magnoliopsida; Brassicales; Brassicaceae
Product: other RNA
Exons: 2
Source: RefSeq
AAGACCGUGGAAUCGGACCAAGUUUGCCGAUAAUCUCCCUGAAUGUGUGUUCUUCAGGAAGCAUAUCGAAAAGAUCAGUUCCUUUGCAGAUAAUGUCUUGGAUUCGUCUCGGGUUCAGAUAAUAAACUGCAAUGCCAACCUGAAUCUGUCAAAAGAUUGUUGCUUUGCCGGAAAUGAGCGCACCGAGUUUUCCCAGGCUUGUAGAGAUGAACCGAAGCUCUCCAGCUUUUGCUAUCGACAUAGUACUCAUAUGAGUAGAGGUAGUUUCUCAACUGAAGAUGAAGGAUCGGUGGGAACCCGUCACACCAUCUAAGCAGAUUGAUGGUAUGGCCGCUCGGGAUCUCAUCGACAUCCGACAUUAUCAAAAGAUCAUCUUCUUUUAUACCUGCGAGCUUGAUCAACUGGUCAAGUGCAAGCCUUUGGAAUGAUUCCUCCACAAAGGGGUUUUCGCCUUUCUUGAACCUUCCUCCAACGUUCCCAUAAGUCAGCCUUGGCUCAACGAAUUUGAAAUUCUUCUCCCUGUUGUCUGCGAAAGCCAACUGUUUUGACAGUCCGGUGAAAGUUGAGUUAGAUUCGAGAAGCACAAACUGAGUAAUGUAAGGAUUUAACUCAUUCCAACGGAGAGUGAGCAUAUCGAUCUCGUUACUGAACAAGGCAGCAUCAAAGACUCUUCUUGGAGAUUCGCGGAGUUUCCAGCCAUGAAGAUUGCAGAGCAAUUCCAUGGAAGUGUUCUCGUGAUAGUAAUGCGGAAGGAUGUUAAAAGGUUUAGGAGGUGAUUCCCAUAGAGGUCUCAAGAAAUAUGUGAUCUUCUGGCCGUGUAGAUAGAUGCCGAAGAUGAAGAGUGGCAGGAGAGUGAAGAGAAACAGGAAUGUUUUGAAAUCGAGUCCUCUUAGAACACAUCUAAGCCUUGAAAUGGCCUUGCCUGCUCGAGAACCUUCCUGUAACAUAUAUAUAACAAAAGAAGAGAUUCC